RNAcentral lists this long non-coding RNA (310 nucleotides) under Capra hircus (goat). Its description in RNAcentral is "lncRNA (ENSCHIG00000002287.1)". Lineage: Eukaryota; Metazoa; Chordata; Mammalia; Artiodactyla; Bovidae. The record is from RNAcentral.
GCAGGAGCCGUGAGGCAAGAAGCUCUGGGAUCAAUUAAAAUGCCAGGCUUUUCCAGGCUGGUUUCCAGCGCAUCUGUGCAUGAUUCCACAUAAAUUUAGGGAAUUAAAGAUCAGACAAAGGCGGAUUCUUUACUGCUGAAGCACAGGGGAGAAGCCUAGUAAUAGCUCUUAUUAUUACCAUCCUGCUGGAUAACAGGACAAGACCCAACUUAGCCAACAAAAUGACCCCCAAAGUGACAGUGGGAAGAAGAAGGGAAGAGUAACCAGAAAUAGGUUAUGAAUCCCAGAGAUAUCCGCUUACAGAGAGGCC